This 65-nucleotide transfer RNA is filed under the name Polididus armatissimus. Its description in RNAcentral is "tRNA-Glu". It matches the Rfam family "tRNA". From Rfam's summary of the family: Transfer RNA (tRNA) molecules are approximately 80 nucleotides in length. Lineage: Eukaryota; Metazoa; Arthropoda; Insecta; Hemiptera; Reduviidae. The record is from RNAcentral.
AUUCAUGUAGUUUAUAUAAAACACUUCAUUUUCAAUGAAGAGAUAAACUUAUUGUUUUAUGAAUA